RNAcentral lists this ribosomal RNA (388 nucleotides) under uncultured bacterium. Its description in RNAcentral is "bacterial SSU rRNA". It matches the Rfam family "Bacterial small subunit ribosomal RNA", at positions 28 to 417 of the family's 1533-position model. The record is from RNAcentral.
GACGAACGCUGGCGGCGUGCUUAACACAUGCAAGUCGAGCGGUAAGGCCCUUUCGGGGGUACGACGAGCGGCGAACGGGUGAGUAACACGUGGGUGACCUGCCCUCAGCUCUGGGAUAAGCCCGGGAAACUGGGUCUAAUACCGGAUAUGACUCCAUGACGCAUGUUGUGGGGUGGAAAGCCUUGUGCGGCUGAGGAUGGGCCCGCGGCCUAUCAGCUUGUUGGUGGGGUGAUGGCCACCAAGGCGACGACGGGUAGCCGGCCUGAGAGGGCGACCGGCCACACUGGGACUGAGACACGGCCCAGACUCCUACGGGAGGCAGCAGUGGGGAAUCUUGCGCAAUGGGCGAAAGCCUGACGCAGCGACGCCGCGUGAGGGAUGACGGCCU